Non-coding RNA from Tissierella creatinophila DSM 6911, 85 nucleotides. The record is from Rfam. Lineage: Bacteria; Bacillati; Bacillota; Tissierellia; Tissierellales; Tissierellaceae.
GAACGCCGUAUGAGGUGAAAGUCUCACGUACGGUGUGGAGUGGGGGAAAAGUGGGAGAUAGUAUCAAACACUUACCUAUCACUAU